UCAGGAAAGGGAUGAACAUGUAAAAAAAAUGAUUAUGGGAAAAAUCGUUUUAAGUAGUCAUCGGUUGAACUUACACGAAACGUCGCACUCCCAGCCACAACAUUCUAAACCUCCCUUCUAUGCGUGGCAUAUUUGACGCUGAUAAUAACAUAGAGUUAAUUGACGCCUGGAAAAAAAUUUUUAGCCAAGACAUGUUAGAAGUUAUGGUACAUUACACUAACCUAAAAUUACAGGAGUACAGACAGAAGGCUUCCAAUGAGAAUCGCACUGAAUUUAGAGACACCAACGAAAUUGAGAUUAAUUGAUUCCUUGGUCUCUUGCACUUGACAUCUAUAUUUAAAUCAAAUAACGAAAGUAUAGAAGCUAUGUUCGCCACAGAUAGAACUGGAAGGGAAAUAUUUCGACUGGUUUUUUUAGCCCGUAGGUUUCAAGUGCUUCUGCCAUGUAUUUGAUUUAAUACACGCAACGAAAGAAAGAAGCGAAUGAAAGUUGAUUCAGCGGCUGCAAUAUCAGAAAUGUUGAAAAAACUCAACAAAAAUUCACAGGCUGCUUAUAUUUUGGGUGGAAAUGUUACGGUAGAUGAAAUGCUUGUGGGUUUUAGAGGUCACUGUCGUUAAAAUGGACAUAUCCAGUAAACUUGAAAAAUAUGGAGUGAAGGUGCAAUGCUUAGCUGAUGCCAGAAGUCAUUAUGUGUACAAGACCUAAAUAUAUUGUGGCAAAGGUAGCGACACUUCAGAGGAGCUGUUGUUUGCCUUUGCAAACCAAUCUUUGGGACCAACAGGAAUGUCAGGCGACAACUGGUACAGUUCAAUUGAACUAGUGGAUAUUUUAUUAAAAACCAAACUCACGUACGUUGGUACACUAAAAAAAAAUAAGCGUAAAGUACCUCCAGAAUUCCUUCCUUCCAGAACAAGAAAAGUAGGGUCAUGUCUCUAUGGCUUUACCAAAUCAAUAACUUUAUUAUCGAUCGUACCGAAGAAGGGCAAAGCUAUUGUCCUCCUUUCAUCCAUGCACCACAUUAAAAAUGUUGACCCAGAUACAGGAUUGCAGGAGAAAAAUGAAUACAACAACACGAAAUCAGGUGUGGAUGCCGUGGACGAAAAAUGUUCCAAGUAUUCAUGUAGCAGACGUACAAGACGAUGGCCAAUGGCGAUAUUCUAUAGAGUUGUAGAUAUGAGUGGAUUGAAUGCAUAUAUAAUUUAUCAAUCUCAUAAAAACAGAGCCGCCAACCCUCGUCUACUAAGCCAUUUGAGAGAAAGUAUCAAAAAAGUACUAGGAAUUGCAGCUGAACCACUGAACGACGAAGAGCCAAAAGUUUCACCUUGAAACGCAAGAAAAUACUGCUCACGUUGCAACCCAAGAUUACCGAGGAAGACUUUUUAUUUAUGCACAAAAUGCAAAAAGCCAAUCUGCCUGCAAUGUUGUGGGAAAAUAUGCCAAAACUGCCUCGUUGAUGUCGAUGGAAGUGGAUAAAUGAAAAAAAAAUCACGGUAAUACUACAAAGGAAAAGCUACAGUAGUUGGUUACCGAAUAUUUUCAUGGCGUAAGGUUGCCUACGCAUUUAGAAAAAAAAAUUGUUUUUUAUUAAAUAGAAUACCCUUUUUGUUUUAUGCUAAA
Molecule: long non-coding RNA, 1617 nt
Organism: Anthonomus grandis grandis
Lineage: Eukaryota; Metazoa; Arthropoda; Insecta; Coleoptera; Curculionidae
Exons: 3
Source: RefSeq, a predicted model, not a curated record